UGCAGUCGAGGGGUAACAGAGAGUGCUUGCACUUUGCUGACGACCGGCGCACGGGUGCGUAACGCGUAUACAAUCUACCUUUUGCUGAGGGAUAGCCCAGAGAAAUUUGGAUUAACACCUCAUAGUAUAUAGAAUUGGCAUCGAUUUUAUAUUAAAGGUUACGGCAAAAGAUGAGUAUGCGUCCUAUUAGUUAGUUGGUGUGGUAACGGCACACCAAGACAGCGAUAGGUAGGGGCCCUGAGAGGGGGAUCCCCCACACUGGUACUGAGACACGGACCAGACUCCUACGGGAGGCAGCAGUGAGGAAUAUUGGGCAAUGGAGGCAACUCUGACCCAGCCAUGCCGCGUGCAGGAAGACUGCCCUAUGGGUUGUAAACUGCUUUUAUACAGGAAGAAACGCUUCUACGAGUAGAGGUUUGACGGUACUGUAAGAAUAAGGAUCGGCUAACUCCGUGCCAGCAGCCGCGGUAAUACGGAGGAUCCAAGCGUUAUCCGGAAUCAUUGGGUUUAAAGGGUCCGUAGGUGGAUAAUUAAGUCAGAGGUGAAAUCCUGCAGCUCAACUGUAGAAUUGCCUUUGAUACUGGUUAUCUUGAGUCAUUAUGAAGUGGUUAGAAUGUGUAGUGUAGCGGUGAAAUGCAUAGAUAUUACACAGAAUACCGAUUGCGAAGGCAGAUCACUAAUAAUGUACUGACACUGAUGGACGAAAGCGUGGGGAGCGAACAGGAUUAGAUACCCUGGUAGUCCACGCCGUAAACGAUGGUCACUAGCUGUGUGGAUUUCUGCAGUCGAGUGCAGUCGAGUGCAGUCGAGUGCAGUCGAG
Molecule: ribosomal RNA, 820 nt
Filed under: uncultured Flavobacteriaceae bacterium
Lineage: Bacteria; Pseudomonadati; Bacteroidota; Flavobacteriia; Flavobacteriales; Flavobacteriaceae
Description: bacterial SSU rRNA
Rfam family: Bacterial small subunit ribosomal RNA
Source: RNAcentral